UACGGAGGGUGCAAGCGUUAUCCGGAUUUACUGGGUUUAAAGGGUGCGUAGGCGGCACAAUAAGUCAGGGGUGAAAGCCUACGGCUAAACCGUAGAAAUGCCUUUGAUACUGUUGUGCUUGAAUUAGAUCGAGGUCGGCGGAAUGUGGCAUGUAGCGGUGAAAUGCUUAGAUAUGCCAUAGAACACCAAUUGCGAAGGCAGCUGACUAGGUCUACAUUGACGCUGAGGCACGAAAGCGUGGGGAGCAAACAGG
RNAcentral lists this ribosomal RNA (253 nucleotides) under uncultured bacterium. Its description in RNAcentral is "partial 16S ribosomal RNA". It matches the Rfam family "Bacterial small subunit ribosomal RNA", at positions 524 to 776 of the family's 1533-position model. The record is from RNAcentral.